Long non-coding RNA from Magallana angulata, 886 nucleotides. RefSeq lists it as uncharacterized. Lineage: Eukaryota; Metazoa; Mollusca; Bivalvia; Ostreida; Ostreidae. The record is from RefSeq and is a predicted model, not a curated record. The transcript has 3 exons.
GCUAACAGCCGGUUUGUUCACAAAUUAACACUAAGUAAAGAACACCUAUUUAUCUCCCCAUUAUCACAAUUCCCCUCAGAUUCUCCUGAUGUUUGUAGAGUUGACACGGAAUCUUAUUCUUCUACAAAGACGGUUAUCUUCGCUUUCUAAACUGACUGCAGAGGACGCCACUGCUGUAAAUGAUGGAGUUCAGAGGUCAAACUUUGCUGUUUGUGGUCUUGUUCAUGUUCAUCUCAAAUGUGGAAGCCAACAACAACAGCACAUCCAACCAAACAACAAUAGUGCCAGAUGACCACGGAAGCAACCCACACAAUGAUGCAUCAUGGACAGUGGCCGUUUCCUUGACUACAUUCCUCUGUGCUGCCGUUUUGAUAAAAAUAUUCUAGAAUGCUCACAUACAGACAUGUAUCAAUGCAAGGUUUUAUGUUUUAGUUCUCCACUGUUUGAAGCUUUAUGUGUUAUAAUAGAUCUCUACUGUUUGAAGUAUAUGUUGUGUUGAUCUUAGUGAAUGUUUUAUUAUUUGGUUCUUCAGCUGUAGUCUUGGUCACUUAAGUAAUAUCUUAUAGAGCAGCCAUUGUUAAUAAAAGAGAUAAUACAGUCCAAUUGUUUCAAUACAGCAAUUGUCAUUGAAGUGGAAAAAAGAUGGAUAACAAGUCUUGCUUUGCAAGACAUUCAUUUAUGCUGUUUUCAACAAAGAGGUUGUUCAUGUACUCAGUUAUAUUUUGUAUGAUAUACUUUACUUUUAAAUAAUUGUACAUGUACUAAAGAUUUUCUUCAUAUAAUUAUACUUAUCUUAAAAAUGACUGACAUUCAGGUUUAAUGUAUGUGAAUUUGUUCUUAUUUUUUGUAACUCAUGUAAAAAAUAAUCAAUAAAGAAAUUGAUAAC